This 870-nucleotide ribosomal RNA is filed under the name uncultured archaeon. RNAcentral describes it as "bacterial SSU rRNA". It matches the Rfam family "Archaeal small subunit ribosomal RNA", at positions 20 to 879 of the family's 1478-position model. The record is from RNAcentral.
GAGGCCACUGCCAUCAGCGUCCGACUAAGCCAUGCGAGUCGUGGGCACCUCCUCACCUUGCGGUGAGGGGGAGACCCGGCGGACGGCUCAGUAACACGUGGCUAACCUACCCUCGGGACCGGGAUAACCCCGGGAAACUGGGGCUAAUACCGGAUAGGCCUCCGAUACCUGGAAUGGGCGGAGGCCGAAAGCCGAGAGGCGCCCGAGGAUGGGGCUGCGGCCGAUUAGGUAGUUGUCGGUUUAACGGACCGACAAGCCUACGAUCGGUACGGGCCGUGAGAGCGGGAGCCCGGAGAUGGACCCUGAGACAAGGGUCCAGGCCCUACGGGGCGCAGCAGGCGCGAAACCUUCACAAUGCCCGAAAGGGCGAUGAGGGGACGCUGAGUGCCCUUCGGGGCUGUUCGGGUGCCUAAAAAGCACCCGGAGUAAGGGCUGGGUAAGACCGGUGCCAGCCGCCGCGGUAAUACCGGCAGCCCGAGUGGUGGCCGCGUUUAUUGGGCCUAAAGGGUCCGUAGCCGGUCGGGUAAGUUCCUCGGGAAACCUCGCCGCUCAACGGUGAGGCUUCCGGGGAAAACUGCCUGACUUGGGACCGGGAUGGGCCGGAGGUACUCCCGGGGUAGGGGUGAAAUCCGUUGAUCCCGGGAGGACCACCCGUAGCGAAGGCGUCCGGCUGGAACGGGUCCGACGGUGAGGGACGAAGGCCAGGGGCGCGAACCGGAUUAGAUACCCGGGCAGUCCUGGCUGUAAACGAUGCGGGCUUUGCGUCGGCACUGCCAAGAGUGGUGCCGGUGUUGAAGGGAAGCCGUUAAGCCCGCCGCCUGGGGAGUACGGGCGCAAGCCUGAAACUUAAAGGAAUUGGCGGGGGAGCAC